RNAcentral lists this ribosomal RNA (466 nucleotides) under uncultured Pseudomonadota bacterium. RNAcentral's name for it is "bacterial SSU rRNA". It matches the Rfam family "Bacterial small subunit ribosomal RNA", at positions 8 to 522 of the family's 1533-position model. The record is from RNAcentral. Lineage: Bacteria; Pseudomonadati; Pseudomonadota.
AGAGUUUGAUCCUGGCUCAGAACGAACGCUGGCGGCAGGCUUAACACAUGCAAGUCGAGCGCCCCGCAAGGGGAGCGGCAGACGGGUGAGUAACGCGUGGGAAUCUACCCAGCUCUACGGAAUAACUCAGGGAAACUUGAGCUAAUACCGUAUACGUCCGAUAGGAGAAAGAUUUAUCGGAGUUGGAUGAGCCCGCGUUGGAUUAGCUAGUUGGUGGGGUAAUGGCCUACCAAGGCGACGAUCCAUAGCUGGUCUGAGAGGAUGAUCAGCCACACUGGGACUGAGACACGGCCCAGACUCCUACGGGAGGCAGCAGUGGGGAAUAUUGGACAAUGGGCGAAAGCCUGAUCCAGCCAUGCCGCGUGAGUGAUGAAGGCCCUAGGGUUGUAAAGCUCUUUCACCGGUGAAGAUAAUGACGGUAACCGGAGAAGAAGCCCCGGCUAACUUCGUGCCAGCAGCCGCGGUA